RNAcentral lists this ribosomal RNA (466 nucleotides) under uncultured bacterium. RNAcentral's name for it is "partial 16S ribosomal RNA". It matches the Rfam family "Bacterial small subunit ribosomal RNA", at positions 28 to 507 of the family's 1533-position model. The record is from RNAcentral.
GAUGAACGCUGGCGGCGUGCUUAACACAUGCAAGUCGAACGAUGAAGCCCAGCUUGCUGGGUGUAUUAGCGGCGAACGGGUGAGUAACACGUGAGUAACCUGCCCUUAACUCUGGGAUAAGCCUGGGAAACUGGGGCUAAUACCGGAUAGGAGCGUCCACCGCAUGGGGGGGGUUGGAAAGAGUUAUCGGUUUUGGAUGGACUCGCGGCCUAUCAGCUUGUUGGUGAGGUAAUGGCUCACCAAGGCGACGACGGGUAGCCGGCCUGAGAGGGUGACCGGCCACACUGGGACUGAGACACGGCCCAGACUCCUACGGGAGGCAGCAGUGGGGAAUAUUGCACAAUGGGCGCAAGCCUGAUGCAGCGACGCCGCGUGAGGGAUGACGGCCUUCGGGUUGUAAACCUCUUUCAGUAGGGAAGAAGCGAGAGUGACGGUACCUGCAGAAGAAGCACCGGCUAACUACGUG